AACCCAAUUCGACAUCCUUGAAAAGGAAUAGGGUUUCCAAAUUUAUCAGUUGAGCUGAGCUUCCCUUUCCUAGUCUUCCUUCACCAUAUUCCUCUUCACUUACCUUCAAUUCAUUCUUCUUUAGUUGUGGGUGAUAAAUAUCAUACCAUUGUUGCUCCAAGUUAAUGAUUCCAGCUUGCAUGAGUGAAAUCUUCAGUACGUUCCCAUGAUUUUUAGUGCUAACACAUUAGUUGUAGCUGGGAUGGAGAUAAUGGGAUGAUCGGACCCAUUGAUAGUAGAAAAGGACCAAGAAGCUCAGUCGGUUGAAUCUGAUUUAACUUGGUGACCCCCAACUUACUAAAAAUCCCUUUUUGUUGGCUGGUGUAAAUAGGCAGAAUAGCCUUUUCACUUUUUUGUUCAACUGCCCUUCUUGUAAAAAUGAUGAAUAUGAAAGAAACUGUUGUAUCCUUUCCAGUCCUAUUAGCCCUUUGCUAAACUUAGUCUUAGAUAGGGACAUUGCUUCUUGUCGCUAUUUAACAUCUUUCUAGUUGCACUUGGUAUCUGGUUGAAUAUUGUAAAUAUGAGUUGUUCAUGCUCAAAUGCUAAGUUAGCUAAGUAAUUUGAGAGUUGGUUUCCUUCCCUGAA
Long non-coding RNA from Capsicum annuum, 624 nucleotides. RefSeq lists it as uncharacterized. The transcript has 3 exons. NCBI's taxonomy places the organism in Eukaryota, Viridiplantae, Streptophyta, Magnoliopsida, Solanales, Solanaceae. The record is from RefSeq and is a predicted model, not a curated record.